This is a long non-coding RNA of Solanum dulcamara, 409 nucleotides long. RefSeq lists it as uncharacterized. The transcript has 2 exons. Lineage: Eukaryota; Viridiplantae; Streptophyta; Magnoliopsida; Solanales; Solanaceae. The record is from RefSeq and is a predicted model, not a curated record.
CCCAAAUACUUUGGGAUGGAAGCACAAGAUUACCAGUUUUCUUCUCCAUGAAUUUCAAACUUGUUGGAGGUGGAAGAAUAGGAGGCUGCCUGAUCGUGGAUUUCACUUAUUUGAGACCUGCAUCAUUUCAUGAUGCAGAGACAGGUUUAAGAGAUCGUCAAUAGGAGCAUCAUUGGGGAUCCAUUCACACUCAGCGUAUUGGUGAGUCCUCCCCUACAUUCGGAGGAUACUGUCUGUGUAUUCUUGCAUUGAGUUAGCCCUUUUCAUUUUGAUUUGAGGUAGCCAUGAACAUGUCAUUGGCACCAAUUAAAUAGUAGUGAUAGAGGCUUCAUAGACUAGAUAGUGAUGAGUCGAUUUAGUUAUUCUUGUCAAACUAUUAAUUUUUUAAAAUGACAAAUAUUUUAGUUGA